RNAcentral lists this ribosomal RNA (588 nucleotides) under uncultured bacterium. RNAcentral's name for it is "partial 16S ribosomal RNA". It matches the Rfam family "Bacterial small subunit ribosomal RNA", at positions 355 to 937 of the family's 1533-position model. The record is from RNAcentral.
UGGGGAAUAUUGGACAAUGGGCGCAAGCCUGAUCCAGCAAUGCCGCGUGUGUGAAGAAGGCCUUCGGGUUGUAAAGCACUUUUAUCAGGAGCGAAACGCUGUCGGCUAAUACCCGGCGGAACUGACGGUACCUGAGGAAUAAGCACCGGCUAACUUCGUGCCAGCAGCCGCGGUAAUACGAAGGGUGCAAGCGUUAAUCGGAAUUACUGGGCGUAAAGCGUGCGUAGGCGGUUUCUUAAGUCUGCUGUGAAAUCCCCGGGCUCAACCUGGGAAUGGCAGUGGAUACUGGGAGGCUAGAGUGUGUCAGAGGGUGGUGGAAUUCCCGGUGUAGCGGUGAAAUGCGUAGAGAUCGGGAGGAACAUCAGUGGCGAAGGCGGCCACCUGGGACAACACUGACGCUGAGGCACGAAAGCGUGGGGAGCAAACAGGAUUAGAUACCCUGGUAGUCCACGCCCUAAAGCGAUGCGAACUGGAUGUUGGUCUCAACUCGGAGAUCAGUGUCGAAGCUAACGCGUUAAGUUCGCCGCCUGGGGAGUACGGUCGCAAGACUGGAAACUCAAAUGAAUUGACGGGGUCAUAGCUGUUUCC